GACGAACGCUGGCGGCGUGCCUAACACAUGCAAGUCGAACGAGGUCCGUGGGUGCUUGCACCCGGAAGACCUAGUGGCGAACGGGUGAGUAACACGUGAGAAACCUGCCCCAGACUCUGGGAUAACCCAAGGAAACUUGAGCUAAUACCGGAUAUUCUCCUUUGGUCGCAUGGCCAGUUGAGGAAAGUUUUUCGGUCUGGGAGGGUCUCGCGUCCUAUCAGCUUGUUGGUGAGGUAACGGCUCACCAAGGCGACGACGGGUAGCUGGUUUGAGAGAACGAUCAGCCACACUGGAACUGAGGCACGGUCCAGACUCCUACGGGAGGCAGCAGUGGGGAAUCUUGCGCAAUGGGCGAAAGCCUGACGCAGCAACGCCGCGUGCGGGAUGAAGGCCUUCGGGUUGUAAACCGCUUUCAGCAGGGACGAAAAUGACGGUACCUGCAGAAGAAGCUCCGGCUAACUACGUGCCAGCCGCCGCGGUAA
This 482-nucleotide ribosomal RNA is filed under the name uncultured bacterium. RNAcentral's name for it is "partial 16S ribosomal RNA". It matches the Rfam family "Bacterial small subunit ribosomal RNA", at positions 28 to 523 of the family's 1533-position model. The record is from RNAcentral.